This 1680-nucleotide long non-coding RNA is filed under the name Drosophila guanche. Lineage: Eukaryota; Metazoa; Arthropoda; Insecta; Diptera; Drosophilidae. The record is from RNAcentral.
AAUCGAUUACAACAGAAAAACCGCAACAAACAUCUCUAGACAUCAUAGACUUACAAUUUUUUUUUUAAAUAUUCACUACCUUGUUAUAAUGGUAAAUGAUUGUGUUUUAUCAUCCGUUGAUGAUGUAGAGCAAAAACUUGUCAUAGCUAAGCAGAACCUAAUUACAUUAAAUGAUAAUAUUCGACGAUUUGUUGGUCGCGUACCAAAGGAGUUGAGGUGUGUACAUAUAUAACACAUUCAAUUAUAAAUUUGUUUAUAAACUACAAGUUUUUCUUCUUUUAUACGUUUUUAGAAUAGACAAACACAAACAUGCUGAUGAAGUCAAAAAGAACGAACAUAACGAAAGAUCAUUUAAAGAUAAACGUCGUACGUUUGAUUCGAACUAUGGAGAUGCUCGCUUCACUACAGACGAGAUUGAACCCCGCUCGGCAAGAAUCAACUCUCGAGUUAUCCGGGAAUUACCAUCUAGAAAAGAAGUAGUCGAAGCUCAAGGGACCGAUUCCGAGUCAAUAGCUCGAAAUCGUCGCAUGUUUGGUUCGCUUAUUGGAACAUUACAAAAAUUCUGCCAAGAGGAGUCGCGUCUAAAGAUCAAAGAAGAUAAAAAAGCUGAAAUAGAAAAGAAACUGGAGAGGCAAGAACUUCAGGAGCGGACAAUGCUAAGAAAAGAACGUGAAACUUUGUUUUUAAAUAAAAAACGAAAGCAAUUUGAAAUCAGAGCAUUGGAAUAUAAAAUGGCUAGGCUAAAGGAUUUCAAAUCUUGGGAAUCGAACAUCUCUUACCAAAAAAAUCAAAUUAGAACAAAAACUAAACCGCAUUUAUUUUUUCGGCCACAAAUACACACCCCUCGUACAGAGAAACUGCUACUUGAAUGUAAAACUUAUGUAGAAUGUUUUAUCCAAAGCAGACGUGAAGAACUACACGCAGAACUACGGGACAUGGAGCGUUUAAAUUACAUCAAAAUGCAUGAAAAUAACGAAAUUGACGAAAGUAUCUUUGAAGAACAAUAUGAUGAGAUGGGUAGCGAAAUUGCAUAAUUAAAAAAAAUAAGUUCAAUAAAAAGUAACAUUGCUGAGACUCGUUUUGAAAAUUUAUUUUUUUUCAUCGUCCUGAUCCAGAUCUUUAAAUAGGUUUGCAGAUAUUAGAAAAUCUUGAACAUAGCAAUUUUUCGGAUUUGGGUUUCACAUAUAUUCGUAAGGUACAAUGGAAUUUGUUAAAUUCAGUAUUCGAAGGUACAAAUUAUAUUGGUGUCAAUAAAAAUAAGUUGAUAUAACGAUAUUACAAACUUUAUGGAAAAUAACAACAAUCGGACUUGGUUUCAAGACUUGGUUUCCCCUAAGAAUGCGUUCUUUACAUGUUCAUACGUCCAUUAAGCUAUUUUUAUACCCGCUACUCGAAGUGUAAAUAGGGUUUAUUGUAUUUGGAAGGAAGGAAGGAUUCUUCAGAAUCAAUAGCCGAGUCUGUAUAGCCAUGUCUGCGUGUCCGUCCGUCUUGUUGAGCGCCUGGAUCUCAGAGAUUCAGUGACCAUCAAAUUUUGCAUCCAGAUGGCUGUAAUAUCACACUGUUACACGAGUAUUUCAAAAUUUUCCCCGCCAAAUUUUAAUUUUUGCUUAAAAUAUCGGAUAUACCCUCAGCCUAUAGCCGCAAAACAAAAAUCAUAUGACAGGUCAGACAUUUCGCUUU